CAUAGACGGAGUGGUGGCCAUUUUUUCGGGCACCACUAUAUACCCCUGGGGAGUGACGGAUUACAAUUAUUACAAUCACUCGACCAUUGAGAAGCCCCUCAAUUCAAAUCACGUCAGUUUGACAACAGUUGUCAUUUCCAUUUUUGUUUACCUCCUGUUUCUGAUUCAAUGAAUCGAGACGAGUAUCAUCAUAUGUAUCUGAAUCCAUCGUAUGUAGCAGAAGGAAAUGGAACUAAACCGCCGAUAAUAAUCCACAUCGAUGAUAUCAUCAGAAAGAACGAUAUCCCUUGGACAGACUUGGAUCUUUUCCUUGCAAGGAAAGCCAUCAACGUCCUCCUUGAUAUAGUGGUCGCUGACUCAGGAAUUCGGAACACAAUUAUCCAGACUGACAAUGCCUAAGCAAGUUUUUAUAUCUGUGGAGAUAUCAGAGGAAAUGGAGGAAAUCGUUGUUCCUAGUGGGCUCACUUGUCACUUCCACUCCGAAUGCCGUUGCGUUUGUAAAAGUUUCAUCUGUUGUAUGUCCCGAUAGCGCCUGCACUCGAUAAUCCUGUGAGUGCGUGAAGAAAAGGAAGACGCUAAGAGAAAAGAUAUCAAUCAGCUGAAGAAAUCGCUGCUCACCAUGCCGUUCGAAACUGCAGAAAAGCUAAAGCUAAUCGUCGUCGAACAUUGCGCAUAUUAGGAAAUAUCAACAGCAACUCGGUCGUUAACAUAAUUGAACGGGAAAUCAAUUAGUCAAAUUACAUAUAUACUACAUGGGGAUUCUAAACUGAGAACUUUUCUGGAAGAUGGAAUAUUCAGCUGCUAAAAUUCUUGACAGCUUGUGAAGGACGGCCUGUGGUGCAAAUGUAUUGUUCUGUGAGCCAUAAUCGGGUAACUAGCGUCUCGACAAAUAUUUAUGACGGCAGCUCAUCGAUGGCAACUGUCUGUUCCAAAAGAAGAUUAUUGUGAAGCGGAUGUCGUUUUGUAUGCCCCAUCAACGAUCGUAAAAGUUAGGAAUGACAGUAACCAGUAACCGUGAGGACGUUGCUAGAUGCUACAGUAUUUCUUCUUUUGAGCUUGAAUUUCGACAUUACUCCUUGGGAGUAUAGCUUGCGAUAACUUGCGGUAACUCGACACGGACGACAAACUCGGAUUUAGUGAAUAAGUUCUUCAGAACUGCGGCUAUGAGAUGAGAUCUGCUGAGCCAAUAUUUAUCGCAGAUAUUAGGUUGUGACUACAGAGGCAGC
This is a long non-coding RNA of Armigeres subalbatus, 1226 nucleotides long. RefSeq lists it as uncharacterized. NCBI's taxonomy places the organism in Eukaryota, Metazoa, Arthropoda, Insecta, Diptera, Culicidae. The transcript has 4 exons. The record is from RefSeq and is a predicted model, not a curated record.